CGCUGGCGGCUGCCUAACACAUGCAAGUCGAACGAUAAGCACCUUCGGGUGGUGGACAGUGGCGCACGGGUGAGUAACGCGUGGGAACGUGCCUUUCGGUUCGGAAUAACCCAGGGAAACUUGGGCUAAUGCCGGAUACGCCCUUCGGGGGAAAGAUUUAUCGCCGAAAGAUCGGCCCGCGUCGGAUUAGCUUGUUGGUGGGGUAAAAGCCUACCAAGGCGACGAUCCGUAGCUGGUCUGAGAGGAUGAUCAGCCACACUGGGACUGAGACACGGCCCAGACUCCUACGGGAGGCAGCAGUGGGGAAUAUUGGACAAUGGGCGAAAGCCUGAUCCAGCCAUGCCGCGUGGGUGAAGAAAGCCCUAGGGUUGUAAACCCCUUUAGCGGGGAAGAAGCCGAAUU
Molecule: ribosomal RNA, 402 nt
Filed under: uncultured Alphaproteobacteria bacterium
Lineage: Bacteria; Pseudomonadati; Pseudomonadota; Alphaproteobacteria
Description: bacterial SSU rRNA
Rfam family: Bacterial small subunit ribosomal RNA
Source: RNAcentral